Molecule: long non-coding RNA, 5128 nt
Filed under: Hordeum vulgare
Lineage: Eukaryota; Viridiplantae; Streptophyta; Magnoliopsida; Poales; Poaceae
Description: long non-coding RNA (HVUL_LNC005793)
Source: RNAcentral
GGGGAUAUAGCCCUAGGGUAGGGUCAUAGGUCUGACCAAUACGUCCUACCCAAGGGCACCUCAUUAUUAGUUUAAGGACUACAAGGGAAAUUCCUACUGGAUCGUGACAACAUCUAAUCCACUCGGUACGGAUCCACUCAGACAGGUACAUUCCAUCCACUCGGAUGACAGUCAACCACUCGGCCGUAUGACUCACUCGGUCAUGCAAAUACCAACAGUCGGCAAGACAUCUGUAGUGGGCUGACAUUAUGGCAUCAAUGCCCCAUCUUGUAACAUAAGAGGUGAGGAGGUGGCGCACUCUAUAUAAGCCACCCCCCNCAGUCGGCAAGACAUCUGUAGUGGGCUGACAUUAUGGCAUCAAUGCCCCAUCUUGUAACAUAAGAGGUGAGGAGGUGGCGCACUCUAUAUAAGCCACCCCCCUCCACAUAGCUAGGGACAUCUUCUUCUUCUUCUCCCCCUGCGGGCUCGUUCCUUCCCUGGAGCUCUGGCUCUCUCUAUACCAUGUAACUCAUGUCCAUGACAGAUAAAACAAAGCCUCUCUGGAGCACGAGACGUAGGGUUGUUAUCUCCACUGUGAGAGGCCCGAACUCGCUAAAACCACCAUGUCACCCAUGUGCAUCUUGAUAGAUCAUGCUCCAUCAUCCUACCCUCUUUCUAUUGUCGGAAUCGUUACCACGACAUUUGGCGCCCACCGUGGGGCAUGGCGUCUAUCGAGCCAUGAUGCAUAUGGUUAUUUCUUCAGCCACCGGCGGCGGAUCGAUUCCGCUGGUGCCCUCUAUUCAGUUUCAUUUUCAUGAUUUAACACAUUUGCUUGUAUUGUUCAUCUCCAAGACGAGCAAAGCAUCGCAAGCAGAAGGAAAACAGACAUCUAUCCAAGCACAUACAUGGAGCACCACCGACCUUCAGGAAACCAACUGCUCCUCCGCACGCGGCCGUCCGCCUCAUCGUCGUCGCGCACGACCACCGGUGCCGUCCGCCUCAUCGUCGUCGCGCACGACCACCGGUGCCGUCCGCCUCAUCGUCGUCGCGCACAACCGCCGGUGCCGUUCGUCUCAUCGUCGUCGCGCACGGUCGCCAGUGCCUUUCGCCUCAGCGUCAUCUCCAACCACGUCGAGCCCCCACACACGACCGCCGCCACCGUUCACCUCGUCGUCGACACGAGCCUUGUUUUCUCGGCCACUCGAGGGUGACCUACGCGGUGGAAGCGCGGGCUCCGUGCGGUGCGGGCGCGCAACGCUUGUUCCUUCAAACGUCGGCCACCGGCGAGGUCUCUGUGACCGAGGCGCACAGCAACGGCGACCUACGAAUCAGCCUCGACCUGCAAGGCUGCAACCGAUGGCCAUCCAACGGUUUGUAAGUGCGUGCGUUACGUGGGCCUGUUCCUUGUUUAGAUUAACUGCAUGCAGGAAAAACGGAAACAGAAGAACGUGGUCUUCAUAGUCCUUCAUGGGAUGGGCUGACGGUUUGCAUAAGGUAAUGGCCUCAUUAACCGUCUCAUCAGGUGAGGAUUUAUGACAUUGGUUUCCUAAUUAGUGUGGCCAAAACAUCUGCCACACUAUUUCCUUCCACGGCCAAUCGUGCAUGCACAUGCAUGCAUGCAUAUUCUCAUUUGUGGUUUUUAUUCAUUGCAAACUAGCAACUAUACAGGACACUUAGUCCAUCAAAAAAUAUUCGUAGCUAUGGUUACUACUAACAUGCAGCGAGUCGGCUGCUCCGCGUGUCGCCACUCUGCAGAACGCGUCUACAUCAAUCGGCCGCCGCACGCAUCGCCACUCCGCAGGAUGCGUCUUCAUCAUUCGGCCGUCCCGCAUGUCGCCACUCCGCAGGAUGCGUCUUCAUCAUUCGGCCAUCCCGCAUGUCGCCACUCCGUAGGAUGGGUCUUCAUCAUUCGACCGCCCCGCGCGUCGCCAUACAAUCGGACACGACGAAAUCAAUCGGCUGCCCCGGGCAUCAUCACUCAAUCGGACGCGUCGUCAUCACUCGGCUGCUCUACGGGCCGUCGCUCAGUCGGACGCGUCGUCAUCAAUCGGUCGCCCCGUGCGCCGUCCCUCAGUCGGACACGUCGUCAACACUCGACCACCCCAUGCGCCGUCGCUCAGUCGGACGGGUCAUCAACACUGGCCGCCCCGUGCGCCGCCCCUCAGUCGGACGCGUCGUCAUCACUCGGCCGCCCUGCAUGCCAUGCUCAGUCAGACGUGUCGUCAGCACUCGACUGCUUCACGCGUCGUUAGCCAGCUGAGUCAUUCUUCGCACAGUGCAUUCAGUUAAAUAAUUAUUUAUGCAUUACCGAGUGUCGAGGAAGUCGCACAUGACGUUCACUCGGAGGCCACGCCACUGAGUGUACCUCUGCACUCGGUUGUUUAUUUUUAUGUGUGAACACUUCACUUCCGCUUCGUUUGGGUCCAGUACUCAAACGAGUUCAGCCGGAUCCUUCACUCUUUUAGACUCUUGCUGGUUCCAAACCAGCAAUCACGUGGCACACCCAGCGGGUGUCUAUAGGUGCAAUUUACACAAACUAUUUCAGAAAAGAUCAUAUUACUUUGAUAAUUUUUUAUGCUGACUUGUGCUAUUUUUCAUACACAGGUUACUCGACGCAUCUGUGCGCCAUCCUCGUCGCUACUCAGGCUCAGUCGCCGCAACAAUCAUUUGUGCGUUUUCACGUGUACGGAAGCCCUUCGAUGACGUAGUGGACACGGCCGCCCAGCGUGCCAUCAGUGGGUCGGACGCCUCCUCGACAUAUAUCACUUGGACGCCCCGCGCGUUGCCACUCAGUCGGACUCGUCUACCUCACUCGGAUGCCCCACGCAUCGCCACUCCGUGUGGCACAUCUUCAUCACUCGGACACCCCGCGCGCCACCGCUGGACUUAGCUGCAACUUCGUAUCGCCUAAGUUAAAAACUACUCCGAGUAUGGACACGCUCCACACUUGGGGGCUUAGAUGCGACUCUGUAUCGCCUAAGUUAAAACUACUCCGAGUACGGACACGCUCCACACUCGGGGGUUUAGCUGCGACUCCGUAUCGCCUAAGUUAAAAAAUAACUCCGAGUGCGGACAUGCUCCACACUCGGGGACUUAGCUGCGACUCCGUAUCGCCUAAGUUAAAAACUACUCCGAGUAUGGACACGCUCCACACUCGAUGGGCUUAGCUGCGACUCUGUAUCGCGUAAGUUAAAAACAACUCCGAGUGCGGACAUCUUCCACACUCGAGGACUUAGCUGCGACUCCGUAUUGCCUAAGUUAAAAACUACUCCGAGUAUGGACACGCUCCACACUCGGGGAACUUAGCUGCGACUCCGUAUCGCCUAAGUUAAAAACAACUCCGAGUGCGGACAUGCUCCACACUCGGGAGCUUAGCUGCGACUCCGUAUCGCCUAAGUUAAAAACAACUCCGAGUGCGGACAUGUUCCACACUCGGGGACGUAGCUGCGACUCCGUGUCGCCUAAGUUAAAAACAACUUCGAGUGCGGACAUGCUCCACACUCGGGGGGCUUAGCUGCGACUCCGUAUCGCCUAAGUUAAAAACAACUUCGAGUGCGGACAUGUUGCACACUCGGGGACUUAGCUGUGACUCCGUGUCGCCUAAGUUAAAAACAACUCCGAGUGUGGACAUGUUCCACACUCGGGGACUUAGCUGCGACUCCGUGUCGCCUAAGUUAAAAACAACUCCGAGUGCGGACAUGUUCCACACUCGGGGGCUUAGCUGCGACUCCGUAUCGCGUAAAUUAAAAACAACUCUGAGUGCGGACAUGUUCCACACUCGGGGACUUAGCUGCGACUCCGUAUCGCCUAAGUUAAAAACAACUCCGAGUGCGGACAUGUUCCACACUCGGGGACUUAGUUGCGACUCCGUAUCGCCUAAGUUAAAAACAACUCCGAGUGCGUACAUGUUCCACACUCGGGGACUUAGUUGUGACUCCGUAUCGCCUAAGUUAAAAACAACUCUGAGUGCGGACAUGCUCCGCACUCGGAGGCUUAGCUGCGACUCUGUAUCGCCUAAGUUAAAACUACUCCGAGUACAGACACGCUGCACACUCGGGAACUUAGUUGCGACCCCGUAUCGCCUAAGUUAAAAAAUACACUUGGAGACUCGACUUUGAUCCAGAAAUCAUAUAAAGCAGAUUCAACAAACAUUCAACAUGACAAGCAUUGGAAGUCUUAAACCCCCUGCCAGACUCAUCUAGUCCGACAGAGGCUCGGGGACUACACCCAGUGGGUGCACUGAGCGUGCCCCCACAGGAAGAGAAAUACAAAAAAGAAACAUUCUGCUUGGUCAGGUCCACCAACAACAUCCAAGUUCAACAGAUUCAACAGAUUCCAACCGACUACCAGCAGUCAGUCAGAGUCUCAAGAUCCUGUUGGUCACUCGGAUCUACUUCAAUUCUUAAGUUCACUCGGACGUACUACUCAGCGGAAUCGAUCAGGGCGAAUGAUGAAGACUUCAAUAAACGCAUAAUUUUGCAAGGCCCUGAAGCACGUUCAAGUUCGGUCUGCUGCUACAAGAUUUACAUCGACACCUUCACCACUCGGGGUCUCGGACCCUGAUCCAUUCGGGGGCUAAUGACGGGGAUAUAGCCCUAGGGUAGGGUCAUAGGUCUGACCAAUACGUCCUACCCAAGGGCACCUCAUUAUUAGUUUAAGGACUACAAGGGAAAUUCCUACUGGAUCGUGACAACAUGUAAUCCACUCGGUACGGAUCCACUCAGACAAGUACAUUCCAUCCACUCGGAUGACAGUCAACCACUCGGCCGUAUGACUCACUCGGUCAUGCAAAUACCAACAGUCGGCAAGACAUCUGUAGUGGGCUGACAUUAUGGCAUCAAUGCCCCAUCUUGUAACAUAAGAGGUGAGGAGGUGGCGCACUCUAUAUAAGCCACCCCCCNNNNNNNNNNNNNNNNNNNNNNNNNNNNNUUCCUACUGGAUCGUGACAACAUCUAAUCCACUCGGUACGGAUCCACUCAGACAGGUACAUUCCAUCCACUCGGAUGACAGUCAACCACUCGGCCGUAUGACUCACUCGGUCAUGCAAAUACCAACAGUCGGCAAGACAUCUGUAGUGGGCUGACAUUAUGGCAUCAAUGCCCCAUCUUGUAACAUAAGAGGUGAGGAGGUGGCGCACUCUAUAUAAGCC